GAUCAUGGCUCAGGACGAACGCUGGCGGCGUGCCUAAUACAUGCAAGUAGAACGCUGAAGAGAGGAGCUUGCUCUUCUUGGAUGAGUUGCGAACGGGUGAGUAACGCGUAGGUAACCUGCCUUGUAGCGGGGGAUAACUAUUGGAAACGAUAGCUAAUACCGCAUAACAAUGGGUGACACAUGUCAUUUAUUUGAAAGGGGCAAUUGCUCCACUACAAGAUGGACCUGCGUUG
RNAcentral lists this ribosomal RNA (233 nucleotides) under uncultured bacterium. RNAcentral describes it as "partial 16S ribosomal RNA". It matches the Rfam family "Bacterial small subunit ribosomal RNA", at positions 15 to 238 of the family's 1533-position model. The record is from RNAcentral.